GGGGACUGGCAGAUUAUUGCAAAAGGGCACGGGGCAGAGGGACUAUGUUGUGAGCCUGCGAAAGAAGUUUGUGUGGGGACUGUGGGCAGUGAACGCGUUGGGAACAAUAUGGAAAACUGGGAGCCGCCUUGGAAUCUACAGGGCCGGGACCCACUCGAGCCAUCCACACUUGCCCCAGCCUCCUCCAAAACAGCACACUUUCCGGCUGAAGAAAAGAAGAAUGGUAUUCACGCAGUUCCCAUUUUACAGAUGAAAACAAGAGGACUUUUUCUGUGAAGUCAAGAAAGUGGUUACAAUGGUACUUUCAGCCUGUCCGAAUUAUGUAUUGCCCCUCCCCUUUUUAUUAAUAACAUUGAAGUGUGAUGGGACAACCACUGAAGCCGUCAGUUGAAACCUGCUGGGACUUUUUAGCCAUUCUCUUCAACAUAAAGAAUGGGUGUUUUUGGAGGGGGUGAGAGGAAUGGGGAAAUGUUGUCAAAGAGUACAACGUUUUAGUUGAGACAGGAAGAAUAUAUUUUGUUGAGAUCUACAGCACAGCAUGGUGACUGUAGUUAACAAUGAAGUAUUGUCUAUUUCCAAAUUGCUAAGACAAUAAAUUUCAAAUGUUCUCACCACAAAAAAGAUAGGUUUUGAGGUGAUGAAUCUAUUAAUU
RNAcentral lists this long non-coding RNA (652 nucleotides) under Homo sapiens (human). RNAcentral's name for it is "HSALNT0350767". Lineage: Eukaryota; Metazoa; Chordata; Mammalia; Primates; Hominidae. The record is from RNAcentral.